RNAcentral lists this ribosomal RNA (600 nucleotides) under Triticum aestivum (bread wheat). RNAcentral's name for it is "partial small subunit ribosomal RNA". The record is from RNAcentral. Lineage: Eukaryota; Viridiplantae; Streptophyta; Magnoliopsida; Poales; Poaceae.
AUGAAGCGCCGUACCCAGGAGGUGCACGUCGCCGGCCGCACCGCGCACGCCACCGUGACCUCGCACCCCGCCGUCGCGCGCCGGUGGGUACACACGACGCGGUGGCGCAACGGCGGCCGUCUCCGCUCCAGCGCCGGGCUCAUCGUCGGCAUGGGCGUCCAGUGGACCCCGCCCUUCCGCCGCCUGCCCGACGGCGCCGAGCCGCGGCCGGCCACGCUGCAGCUCUGCUGCGGGCGCCGGUGCCUCGUGUUCCAGAUCGGGAAGGCCGGCGCCGGCAGCGUCCCUCUGAUCCUCCAGCGUUUCCUGGAGGACGCCCGCGUGGAUUUCUUCGGGUACAACGUCCUGUCCGACUGCCGCAAGCUGAGCGCCCACUACGGCCUGCGGGUGGCGUGCCCGCGAGAGCUGCGCCUGGUGACGGGCAUGGGGAACGCAUCGAUGGAGAGCAUGGCGGAGCAGCUCCUCGGGUGGCGCGGGGUGAAGAAAUCGCAGCGGGUGGGCGUCAGCAACUGGGACGUCAGCACGCUGUCGAAGAGGCAGGUGAGGUACGCGGCCAGCGACGCCUUGGUCUCGUACUGCCUCGGCGCCAAGUGUUUGAAGUAA